ACAUCUAGACGUAUCUCUUCAUGGAAGUGUCCUUGAGUUCCAUCCUUGGAGAUGGGAGCUUUCUUCGGCCAGUGAAGAAAGAGAGAGACUAAGAAAGGAUGUUAUUGCAUGGAAGAAGCAGAAGAGUGGGGAAGCAGAGGGUGGAAAGGCACAUGAUUCCCUUGUCAAGGCUGAUUUCAAAAGAAAAGAAUAUUCAGUUCCAGGACAGGUAGAUCCAUAUACUUAGUUUUCUAUCCAACUAAUACACAUCAAUUUGCUUCUGAUGAACUACAGGGGAGGUACAUUUGUCCUAGGUUGGCCAUUUAAGUAAUCCUUAUUAUGAGAGUUGUCAUGAAUCAGGGUACCUAGGUCCUAAAUACUUGUAUGCCCUUUAAUGAUAUGAAUUUGUGACACUCAAGUAAUGAAUUCCUGCAUCACAGUGUAAAAGGUACAAUUUCUUGGUAUGACUGCAUGGGACAUCAAUCUUAAAAGUUUAUCUACAGUUGUAUUUCUUAUUGGAGAUAUGCAAUAUUAUGUUAAAUGGAACACUGCAAAGAGUAUGAUGCAUAAUGCAUCAAAUGCAUCAGUCUCGCAGCUACACUCGCAAAUAGAUAGGCCACUCGUGCUUCCAUUUGACUGUGUUAUUUAGACAUAAUGCAUCAAAUGCAUCAGUCUUGAAAUUGUGAAAUGCUUCCUUGCAGAGUUUUGUUUU
Magnolia sinica is the source of this 691-nucleotide long non-coding RNA. RefSeq lists it as uncharacterized. The record is from RefSeq and is a predicted model, not a curated record. Lineage: Eukaryota; Viridiplantae; Streptophyta; Magnoliopsida; Magnoliales; Magnoliaceae. The transcript is spliced from 3 exons.